GUCCACGCCGUAAACGGUGGGCACUAGGCGUCGGGGGUAUCGACCCCUCCGGUGCCGUAGCUAACGCAUUAAGUGCCCUGCCUGGGGAGUACGGCCGCAAGGCUAAAACUCAAAGUAAUUGACGGGGGCCCGCACAAGCAGCGGAGCGUGUGGUUUAAUUCGAUGCAACGCGAAGAACCUCACCUAGGUUUGACAUGCUGGAAGUAGAACCCCGAAAAGGGAACGACCCGUAAAGUCGGGAGUCAGCACAGAUGCUGCAUGGCUGUCGU
This 269-nucleotide ribosomal RNA is filed under the name uncultured bacterium. Its description in RNAcentral is "partial 16S ribosomal RNA". It matches the Rfam family "Bacterial small subunit ribosomal RNA", at positions 793 to 1055 of the family's 1533-position model. The record is from RNAcentral.